This 301-nucleotide ribosomal RNA is filed under the name uncultured bacterium. Its description in RNAcentral is "partial 16S ribosomal RNA". It matches the Rfam family "Bacterial small subunit ribosomal RNA", at positions 509 to 807 of the family's 1533-position model. The record is from RNAcentral.
CAGCAGCCGCGGUAAUACGAAGGGUGCAAGCGUUACUCGGAAUUACUGGGCGUAAAGCGUGUGUAGGUGGUUGUUUAAGUCUGUCGUGAAAGCCCUGGGCUCAACCUGGGAAUUGCGAUGGAUACUGGGCGACUAGAGUGCGGUAGAGGAUAGUGGAAUUUCCGGUGUAGCAGUGAAAUGCAUAGAGAUCGGAAGGAACAUCUGUGGCGAAGGCGACUAUCUGGGCCAACACUGACACUGAGACACGAAAGCGUGGGGAGCAAACAGGAUUAGAUACCCGCGUAGUCCCUGUCUCUUAUAC